RNAcentral lists this unclassified non-coding RNA (350 nucleotides) under soil metagenome. Its description in RNAcentral is "partial contains 5.8S ribosomal RNA, internal transcribed spacer 2, and large subunit ribosomal RNA". The stretch from base 1 to 120 matches the Rfam family "5.8S ribosomal RNA", at positions 35 to 154 of the family's 154-position model. The record is from RNAcentral.
GAUGAAGAACGGAGCGAAAUGCGAUAAGUAAUGUGAAUUGCAGAAUUCAGUGAAUCAUCGAAUCUUUGAACGCACAUUGCGCCCGCCAGUAUUCUGGCGGGCAUGCCUGUUCGAGCGUCAUUUCAACCCUCAAGCCCAGCUUGGUGUUGGGGAUCGGCACAGGCGCCCUCGGGCGCCCGCCGUCCCCUAAAUCUAGUGGCGGUCCCGCUGCAGCCUCCUCUGCGUAGUAGUUUUCUCCUCGCAAGGGCAGCUCGGUGGCGACCUCGCCGUAAAACCCCCAACUUCUGAAAGGUUGACCUCGAAUCAGGUAGGAAUACCCGCUGAACUUAAGCAUAUCAAUAAGCGGAGGA